GACAGAGGCCUCAAGCGUUAGGCGGAAUCACUGGGCUUAAAGCGUGUGUAGGCGGAUCGUUAAGUGUCUUGUGAAAUCCCACGGCUCACCCGUGGAACGGCUGGGCAUACUGGCGAUCUUGGGCCAACUAGGGGCAACUGGAACAAGCGGUGGAGCGGCGAAAUGCGUAGAUAUCGCUUGGAACGCCAAAGGUGAAAACAGGUUGCUGGGGAUGUUCUGACACUGAGACGCGAAAGCCAGGGGAGCGAACGGG
Molecule: ribosomal RNA, 253 nt
Filed under: uncultured bacterium
Lineage: Bacteria
Description: partial 16S ribosomal RNA
Rfam family: Bacterial small subunit ribosomal RNA
Source: RNAcentral